AAUCAUUAUUUCUAUGUAAAAAGCUUUAAUUGUGUAGUAAUGCAAGUGCAUUUUAUUGUUAUCUUUCUUACUUACGUCUUAAUCAUGUCAUCUAUAAUAAAAAGCCAGUGAUAGUUGUUGAAUGUCAUAAAUAAUAUUAGUCAUGUGAGCUAUGAGGUGGAUCACAGUCUAUGUCACGGUGCAGCUGAAGAGUCAGAACUCAGAGAUUUCCACUCGGAACAGAUCUUCAGUCGCGGAGUUUGUUUGUGGGUAGCACGUGUCCUUGGUCACAGCCCAGGUGUGAGGUUUCUGCUUUCCAUACCAACACGGAAAAGCUUUAACAAGAGCGUCAUGGAUUUUUUUUUUUUGUAUUUUAUUGCACUGCACUUGCAUAACCUUGUGAGGCCCACAUUAAGGUUACAGUUCUUUUCUUUGGCUGUCAUCCCAACCUUUUCAAAGAACUACCUGGCAUCUUAUUCAUUGCUGAUCAACAAAGGCCAGAGAGGAGCUUGCUUCUCCUGCAUUACCUCCUUUGCAACAGACACAUCAAGAUGGCACUUAAAUUGACGGCUGCACCCUGUACUAAUGCACCUCUUUUUAUGCAUGAGCUGAAAUGAGGCAGUGCAUAUAUAAUGGACUUCAAAUGUCGACAACACACACUGCACGUUCACAGUGUCGUGUGCAGGGAUGAAGUCUUGUCAGAAACAUUCACUGGCGAAUGAUUGCACACAGCAUGGUUCAGGUCCGCGGUGACAGGGUGCACAAGGCGGCUGAUUCUCAAAAGCGAGAGAUGCAGAGUGAGAGAAGCUUGGAGGAGUGAAGUGAGAUAAGGCGGCGGAGGAGGACAGGUGUCAACGUGUGGUUGCUGCAGAAAGUACAUGUGGAAGGAGCAUGAGGAACCUGAGGAAAUGAGGGUCUGACUUACUGCUGCUGCUGCUGCAUCGCCCUGGUGCAGCUCUGUGCUUAUUCUGGAAUACACGUGACUCUCUCUCUCUCUCUCUCUCUCUCCCUCGCGCUCUCUCUGUCUGUCUCUCAUUGUCUCUCUCACGCCUCUGCCCCCAGCAACGUUUUUCUCUCACACUCACACAGACAUACCUCCCGUCACUCUACGCUCAGUACAUACUGUAUUUAUACUCCUUCCGCUAAUUCCUCGAGUCAAUCACCUCAGCCUUUUCGCCCGCCCAUCUGUCCCUUAUGUCAUCAGUUCUUUACCCGAAAAAGUCACAGCUAUGAACAAGUGCUGGAAGAUCCAGACAGCAAUUUUAAACUGCCACUGACAUCACAGCGAACAUGAUAAUGAGGGUCAGUAGGUUCACAGUGUCACAGAUGGCUGAGCCUAGGAGCUGGUAUGUCUUAGGAAAGAGAGGCGGGGGGAUGUCCUUUCACCAGAUGUAUGUUAUAGUGGAGGGGUCAACGUAACUGAUGUAAGAAGAGUAAUGAGAUUCAACAGCUGAGAGAGGGAAGCAGGAAGCAGGAAGCAGAGCCACACAUUACCAGCUGGACCCAAAAUGACAAAUGACGCUUGUGUCUCUCAACAGUUUUUUCUCUUGCACCUGAUAAGGAAACACUCGAGAAGUGAAGUGAAUGCACACUUACUGGUGACCUUUCAUUUGUCCUUGUCCUCAGGAGCUGCCUGUGUGAGGCAGUCAGGG
Solea solea (common sole) is the source of this 1631-nucleotide long non-coding RNA. RefSeq lists it as uncharacterized. The transcript is spliced from 4 exons. Lineage: Eukaryota; Metazoa; Chordata; Actinopteri; Pleuronectiformes; Soleidae. The record is from RefSeq and is a predicted model, not a curated record.